Molecule: ribosomal RNA, 253 nt
Filed under: uncultured bacterium
Lineage: Bacteria
Description: partial 16S ribosomal RNA
Rfam family: Bacterial small subunit ribosomal RNA
Source: RNAcentral
UACGAAGGGGGCUAGCGUUGCUCGGAUUGACUGGGCGUAAAGGGCGCGUAGGCGGUUUGCACAGUCAGACGUGAAAUUCCUGGGCUUAACCUGGGGGCUGCGUUUGAUACGUGCAGGCUUGAGUUCGGAAGAGGGUCGUGGAAUUCCCAGUGUAGAGGUGAAAUUCGUAGAUAUUGGGAAGAACACCGAUGGCGAAGGCAGCCAUCUGGACCGACACUGACGCUGAGGCGCGAAAGCGUGGGGAGCAAACAGG